UACGUAGGGGGCAAGCGUUAUCCGGAUUUACUGGGUGUAAAGGGAGCGUAGACGGCAAUGCAAGUCUGGAGUGAAAGGCGGGGGCCCAACCCCCGGACUGCUCUGGAAACUGUAUAGCUGGAGUGCAGGAGAGGUAAGUGGAAUUCCUAGUGUAGCGGUGAAAUGCGUAGAUAUAUGGAAGAACACCAGUGGCGAAAGCGGCUCUCUGGUCUGUAACUGACGCUGAGGUUCGAAAGCGUGGGUAGCAAACAGG
RNAcentral lists this ribosomal RNA (253 nucleotides) under uncultured bacterium. RNAcentral describes it as "partial 16S ribosomal RNA". It matches the Rfam family "Bacterial small subunit ribosomal RNA", at positions 524 to 776 of the family's 1533-position model. The record is from RNAcentral.